Molecule: ribosomal RNA, 466 nt
Filed under: uncultured bacterium
Lineage: Bacteria
Description: bacterial SSU rRNA
Rfam family: Bacterial small subunit ribosomal RNA
Source: RNAcentral
UCCUACGGGAGGCAGCAGUGAGGAAUAUUGGGCAAUGGACGAAAGUCUGACCCAGCAACGCCGCGUGGAGGAUGAAUGCCGUAAGGUUGUAAACUCCUUUUGAGAGGGACGAAAACCCAUAUUUCGUAAGGGAUACGGUUUGACUGUACCUCUAGAAGAAGCCCCGGCUAACUACGUGCCAGCAGCCGCGGUAAUACGUAGGGGGCAAGCGUUGUCCGGAUUUACUGGGUGUAAAGGGCGCGUAGGCGGAUUUGUAAGUCAGAGGUGAAAGCCCGCAGCUUAACUGCGGAACUGCCUUUGAUACUGCUUAUCUUGAGUUCGGAAGAGAGAAGCGGAAUUCCAGGUGUAGUAGUGAAAUACGUAGAUAUCUGGAAGAACACCAGUGGCGAAGGCGGCUUCUUGGUCCGUAACUGACGCUGAGGCGCGAAAGCGUGGGGAGCAAACAGGAUUAGAUACCCGGGUAGUC